CUACGGGUCGCAGCAGUGAGGAAUAUUGCGCAAUGGGGGAAACCCUGACGCAGCGACGCCGCGUGGAUGAUGAAGGCCUUCGGGUCGUAAAAUCCUGUCAGAAGGAAAGAAGUGUAUGGUAGCUAAUAUCUGCCAUACUUGACGGUACCUUCAAAGGAAGCACCGGCUAGCUCCGUGCCAGCAGCCGCGGUAAUACGGAGGGUGCAAGCGUUGUUCGGAAUUACUGGGCGUAAAGCGCGCGUAGGCGGUUUUAUAAGUCAGAUGUGAAAGUCCACGGCUCAACCAUGGAAGUGCAUUUGGAACUGUAAGACUUUAGUAUUGGAGGGGGUAGUGGAAUUCCCGGUGUAGAGGUGAAAUUCGUAGAUAUCGGGAGGAAUACCGGUGGCGAAGGCGACUAUCUGGCCAAAUACUGACGCUGAGGUGCGAAAGCGUGGGGAGCAAACAGGAUUAGAUACCCCGGUAGUC
This 465-nucleotide ribosomal RNA is filed under the name uncultured bacterium. Its description in RNAcentral is "partial 16S ribosomal RNA". It matches the Rfam family "Bacterial small subunit ribosomal RNA", at positions 339 to 795 of the family's 1533-position model. The record is from RNAcentral.